AUGAAAGCAAGAGGAGAGACUGCUGUAUGCAGCGCCGAAGGAGCAAGCAAAUUUGUGAAUCUCUCAGGCAAAAAGACUCUUGCUAGACG
This is a non-coding RNA of 89 nucleotides. It matches the Rfam family "Glycine riboswitch aptamer". From Rfam's summary of the family: This family represents the bacterial glycine riboswitch. Glycine riboswitches usually consist of two metabolite-binding aptamers domains with similar structures in tandem.